CGUCGACCAUGGAACGACCCCUUCCGGAAUAUCGCCGUCAACCUCCCUACUGCCUCCGCGGGGAGGGUCUCCGUCAACGUCGCUGCCACUGCCGUCACUCGACCGCCGUAGCAUCCUUCUUUGAGUACCACCCCGUUCCAUCCAGGGAACUCUUUCCUGAAGCGCAUUACUUUGGUUCGCUCUGUCCAGAAUAAUGCACUGAAAAUGAAAAUAAUGCAGGGAAGGCGUCAUGAAAAUAAUGUUUGUUCAGUCCAAAUGUUACGUACCAUUCUAUUUCCUUAUGAUUUUAUUCUCUUACAGUUUGCUCUCUAUCCAGUAGCAGUUGCGUUGCAAGUACAAUUCACAUCAUCAGUGCAACAGAGAGGUUAAAGAUGAGGUUGAGGUUAUCACUUGGCGUCAAGAAAUUGUAUAAUAUUCCUCCAAAUGAAGUGCUCAUGAUUAGGAGCAAAAUUCAAGAUCCGGGAUCCACGUGAGAUGCAAGAGCCUUUGCUCUAUUCAAGGAUUUAGGAAGCAUUGACCAGCUGCAUGGCAAGUACAACGAGCAUUAUCAGUACAACAAGGAGAUUCAAUCAAGGCAAGAAAUUCUACCAUAUUGUUCUGAAUGAAGAGGUAACUUUCCCUACUAUUACAUUAUCAAAUUAUUGCAUAAUGCUUUGGUUUCUACUAUUAUGGAGAUGAUCAAGGAUCUGUCGAGUAUUCUUGCAAAUCUGAAUGGAUAGACUUAACUCCCUAUUAUUUUCUUAUUAUAUAGCUUUGUGGUUAUGCAUCCUUGAGGAGUUGCACUUAAUUCUAUUCACAUUGGUAUUGUGUUCUGAAGUUGACUUGCAAGAAGUCUCUAAUAAAUUAUUUAC
This is a long non-coding RNA of Triticum aestivum (bread wheat), 851 nucleotides long. RefSeq lists it as uncharacterized. The transcript has 4 exons. The record is from RefSeq and is a predicted model, not a curated record. NCBI's taxonomy places the organism in Eukaryota, Viridiplantae, Streptophyta, Magnoliopsida, Poales, Poaceae.